CCUACGGGUGGCAGCAGUGAGGAAUAUUGGUCAAUGGGCGCGAGCCUGAACCAGCCAAGUAGCGUGAAGGAUGACUGCCCUACGGGUUGUAAACUUCUUUUAUAAAGGAAUAAAGUGAGGCACGUGUGCCUUUUUGUAUGUACUUUAUGAAUAAGAUCGGCUCACUCCGUGCCAACAGCCGCGGUAAUACGGAGGAUCCGCGCGUUAUCCGGAUUUAUUGGGGUUAAAGGGGUCGUAAAUGGGUUGUUAAGUCAGUUGUGAAAGUUUGCGGCUCAACCGUAAAAUUGCAAUUGUUACUGGCAGUCUGGAGUACAGUUGAGGUAGGCGGAAUUCGUGGUGUAGCGGUGAAAUGCUUAGAUAUCACGAAGAACUCCGAUUGCGAAGGCAGCUUACUAAACUGCCACUGACAUUGAUGCUCGAAAGUGUGGGUAUCAAACAGGAUUAGAUACCCCUGUAGUC
Molecule: ribosomal RNA, 459 nt
Filed under: uncultured bacterium
Lineage: Bacteria
Description: partial 16S ribosomal RNA
Rfam family: Bacterial small subunit ribosomal RNA
Source: RNAcentral